GACUUGACGGUACUUCGAACCCACCUAGAGGAGCCUGUCCUAUAAUUGAAGAUACACGAUUCACCUAACCCCUCCUUGCCUCUCAGUCUGUAUACCGCCGUCGCCAAACUCGUCCCACUGAGGGAAACAAAACAAGUGCAACAGCCUCCCAGGCUAAUACGUCAGGUCAAGGUGCAGCUAAUGGAGCGGAAGAGAUGUGCUACAUUUUCUAAAAUAGAAAUACGUAACAGAACGCCCUCUGAAA
RNAcentral lists this ribosomal RNA (244 nucleotides) under Paleosuchus palpebrosus (Cuvier's dwarf caiman). RNAcentral describes it as "partial 12S ribosomal RNA". The record is from RNAcentral. Lineage: Eukaryota; Metazoa; Chordata; Crocodylia; Alligatoridae.